UACAGAGGUCUCAACCGUUGUUCGGAUUCAUUGGGCGUAAAGGGUGCGUAGGCGGCGGGGUAAGUCAGGUGUGAAAUCUCGGGGCUCAACCCCGAAACUGCAUUUGAUACUGCCUUGCUCGAGUACUGGAGAGGAGACUGGAAUUUACGGUGUAGCAGUGAAAUGCGUAGAUAUCGUAAGGAAGACCAGUGGCGAAGGCGAGUCUCUGGACAGUUACUGACGCUGAGGCACGAAGGCCAGGGGAGCAAACGGG
RNAcentral lists this ribosomal RNA (253 nucleotides) under uncultured bacterium. RNAcentral describes it as "partial 16S ribosomal RNA". It matches the Rfam family "Bacterial small subunit ribosomal RNA", at positions 524 to 776 of the family's 1533-position model. The record is from RNAcentral.